This 604-nucleotide ribosomal RNA is filed under the name uncultured fungus. RNAcentral's name for it is "SSU rRNA". It matches the Rfam family "Eukaryotic small subunit ribosomal RNA", at positions 737 to 1343 of the family's 1831-position model. The record is from RNAcentral. Lineage: Eukaryota; Fungi.
GGGGAACCAGGACUUUUACUUUGAAAAAAUUAGAGUGCUCCAGGCAGGCCUAUGCUCGAAUACAUUAGCAUGGAAUAAUAGAAUAGGACGUGUGGUUCUAUUUUGUUGGUUUCUAGGACCGCCGUAAUGAUUAAUAGGGACAGUCGGGGGCAUCAGUAUUCAAUUGUCAGAGGUGAAAUUCUUGGAUCUAUUGAAGACUAACUACUGCGAAAGCAUUUGCCAAGGAUGUUUUCAUUGAUAAGGAACGAAAGUUAGGGGAUCGAAGACGGUCAGAUACCGUCGUAGUCUUAACUAUAAACUAUGCCGACUAGGGAUCGGACGAUGUUAUCUUUUGACGCGUUCGGCACCUUUCGAGAAAUCAAAGUGCUUGGGCUCCAGGGGGAGUAUGGUCGCAAGGCUGAAACUUAAAGAAAUUGACGGAAGGGCACCACCAGGGGUGGAACCUGCGGCUUAAUUUGACUCAACACGGGGAAACUCACCAGGUCCAGACACAGUGAGGAUUGACAGAUUGAGAGCUCUUUCUUGAUUCUGUGGGUGGUGGUGCAUGGCCGUUCUUAGUUGGUGGAGUGAUUUGUCUGCUUAAUUGCGAUAACGAACGAGACCU